RNAcentral lists this RNase P RNA (447 nucleotides) under Nostoc sp. PCC 7524. Its description in RNAcentral is "Bacterial RNase P class A". It matches the Rfam family "Bacterial RNase P class A". Rfam says of the family: Ribonuclease P (RNase P) is a ubiquitous endoribonuclease, found in archaea, bacteria and eukarya as well as chloroplasts and mitochondria. Its best characterised activity is the generation of mature 5'-ends of tRNAs by cleaving the 5'-leader elements of precursor-tRNAs. Lineage: Bacteria; Bacillati; Cyanobacteriota; Cyanophyceae; Nostocales; Nostocaceae. The record is from Rfam by way of RNAcentral.
GAGAGUAGGCGUAGGCGGUUGCAGAUCAGUUAACACUGGUUUGAGGAAAGUCCGGACUCCCGAAAGACCAGACUUGCUGGAUAACGUCCAGUGCGAGCGAUCGUGAGGAUAGUGCCACAGAAAGAUACCGCCAAAAUGAGGCAACAGGUGACAGGUGACAGGUGACAGGUGACAGUAAAAUUCCUGUAACCUUUAACCUGUAACCUGCAACCUCUCAUGGUAAGGGUGCAAAGGUGCGGUAAGAGCGCACCAGCAACGUCGAGAGGCGUUGGCUCGGUAAACCCCGGUCGGGAGCAAGGCCAGAGGAACUACGGUUGGUCUUUUACCAGUUCCGCCAUAAUAGAGCCGCAAGAGGCGUUUGGUAACAAACGUCCCAGAUAGAUAACCGCCCUCAUGUAGAGUAAUCUACAUAGAGAACAGAACCCGGCUUACUACCAACUCUCUCCU